RNAcentral lists this RNase P RNA (412 nucleotides) under Nocardioides zeae. Its description in RNAcentral is "Bacterial RNase P class A". It matches the Rfam family "Bacterial RNase P class A". From Rfam's summary of the family: Ribonuclease P (RNase P) is a ubiquitous endoribonuclease, found in archaea, bacteria and eukarya as well as chloroplasts and mitochondria. Its best characterised activity is the generation of mature 5'-ends of tRNAs by cleaving the 5'-leader elements of precursor-tRNAs. The record is from Rfam by way of RNAcentral. Lineage: Bacteria; Bacillati; Actinomycetota; Actinomycetes; Propionibacteriales; Nocardioidaceae.
UGGGCUGGCCGGGCGGCCGCGGCGGCACCCUCGGGUGUCGUCGAGGAAGGUCCGGGCUCCACAGGGCGAGGUGGUGGGUAACGCCCACCCGGGGUGACCCGCGGGACAGUGCCACAGAGAACAGACCGCCGCCCUCCGGCUCCGGCCGGCGGGAGGCAAGGGUGAAACGGUGGUGCAAGAGACCACCAGCGCUCCGGGCGACCGGAGCGGCUCGGUAAACCCCACCUGGAGCAAGGUCGAGAAGUCCGCCUCCGCGAGGAGGUGGACGCGCGUGCGUUCGAGGGCUGCCCGCCCGAGCACGCGGGUGGACUGCACGAGGUCGUCGGCAACGGCGGCCCUAGAUGGAUGGCCGCACAUCGGUGCCCGGCAACGGGCCCGAGGACAGAACCCGGCCUACAGGCCAGCCCGUCCG